AAGAAACUAACUAGGAUUCCCCCAGUAACUGCGAGUGAAGAGGGAAGAGCUCAUCAUUGGAAUCUGGCAGCGUUGCGCUGUCCGAGUUGUAGAUGAGAAGAGUAGGUCAUCUGGACUGCGUGGUGUCCAAGUACAAUAGGCCGUCAGUGGGACAUCAUAGAGGGUGACAAUCCCGUCCUUGACAACCAACGUACGAGUCCAUUACGAUGCCUAUCUCAGAGAGUCGAGCAGUUUGGGAUUUGCUGCUUAAACAUGGGAGGUAGAUUCCUUCUAAAGCUAAAUACAGGCAAGAGACCGAUAGAGAACAAGUACCGCAAGGGAAAGAUGAAAUAGAACUCUGUGAAGGGAGUCAAAAAGACGUGAAAUUGUUGCGAGAGAAGCGAUUCAAGUCAGCGUAGCUAGGCCCAUCAAGCUUCUUGCUUUGGACUAGCUUUGCCAGCGGUCUUGUCCUUUUAGAGACUUGACUUUURACGUGCCCUGUCCGGUCUAACGGGCAGGCCCUUCGGGGCCAGUGGCAUGGCUGGUGGAAUGGCUUGCAAUCGACCCGUCUUGAAACACGGACCAAGGAGUCUAACAUGUGUGCGAGUAUAAGGGUGGCAAACCCGUAUGCGCAAAGAAAGUGAUAGCCUUUUAUGGCUGAGAAUGGCCUGAUGACCAGACAAGCAAUAUUAUGUUCCUCGUACGGUCAUUGCCCAAGUCCCGUGGUCAGAUCCCAUGGACAUGGAGUUAGAGCAUACAUGCUAGGACCCGAAAGAUGGUGAACUAUGCCUGGACAAAGCGAAGCCAAAGGAAACUCUGGUGGAGGCUUGUAGCGAUUCUGACGUGCAAAUCGAUCGUCUGAUCUGGGUAUAGGGGCGAAAGACUAAUCGAACC
This 873-nucleotide ribosomal RNA is filed under the name Cantharellus phloginus. Its description in RNAcentral is "partial large subunit ribosomal RNA". Lineage: Eukaryota; Fungi; Basidiomycota; Agaricomycetes; Cantharellales; Hydnaceae. The record is from RNAcentral.